RNAcentral lists this ribosomal RNA (254 nucleotides) under uncultured bacterium. Its description in RNAcentral is "partial 16S ribosomal RNA". It matches the Rfam family "Bacterial small subunit ribosomal RNA", at positions 524 to 776 of the family's 1533-position model. The record is from RNAcentral.
UACGUAGGCAGCGAGCGUUGUUCGGAGUUACUGGGCGUAAAGGGUGUGUAGGCGGUUCUUUAAGUUUGGUGUGAAAUCUCCCGGCUCAACCGGGAGGGUGCGCCGAAAACUGGGGGACUAGAGUGGCGGAGUGGAGAGUAGAAUUCCUGGUGUAGCGGUGAAAUGCGUAGAUAUCAGGAGGAAUACCGGUGGUGUAGACGGCUCUCUGGACCGCAACUGACGCUGAGACACGAAAAGCGUGGGGAGCGAACAGG